UUAUAAGUAAAAUUUAAUUUUUUAAUUAAAAAGUUAAAAUAAGUUAAAAAGACGAGAAGACCCUAUAGAGUUUUAUAAAUUAAUUAAAUUAAGAUUAUUUAAUUAUUAAGAUUAAAAUUAAAUUAUUUAUUGUAUUGGGGUGAUAAAAAAAUAAAUUUAACUUUUUUUAAAUUAAAAACAUUUAUAAGUGAUUAAGUGAUCCAAUAUUAUUGAUUAUAAGAAAAAAUUACCUUAGGGAUAACAGCGUAAUUUUUUUUUUUAGUUCAUAUAAAAAAAAGAGUUUGCGACCUCGAUGUUGGAUUAAGAUAAAAUUUAAAUGUAGAAG
This 325-nucleotide ribosomal RNA is filed under the name Acrapex curvata. RNAcentral describes it as "partial 16S large subunit ribosomal RNA". The record is from RNAcentral. Lineage: Eukaryota; Metazoa; Arthropoda; Insecta; Lepidoptera; Noctuidae.